This 116-nucleotide ribosomal RNA is filed under the name Pteropus alecto (black flying fox). Lineage: Eukaryota; Metazoa; Chordata; Mammalia; Chiroptera; Pteropodidae. The record is from RNAcentral.
GUCUAUGGCCAUGCCACCCUGAACAAACGCGAUGUCUGAUCUCAGAAGCUAAGCAGAAUCAGGCCUGGUUAGUACUUGGAUGGGAGACCACCUGGGAAGACCAGGUGCUGUAGGCA